CACUGCAAGAAGAAACCCCUGCUGUUCCUCAAACUCUUCUUUGCCAAGGCUUUUGAAAACGUUCAUUGAGAUUAUCUCCUUAACCUGCUCCAGGCUUUAUUCAGUGCUAGAUGGAGGGAUCUGAUCUCCUCGUCACCUGCUACUUACACCUUUGGAGUGAUCCUUAAUGGAACCCCUGGGAAACCUUUCCAUCACAGACGUGGGCUGCGACAGGGAGAUCCGCUUGCCCCAAUGCUCUUCAUUCUAGCCCUCGAGCCACUGCAGUGA
RNAcentral lists this ribosomal RNA (267 nucleotides) under Triticum aestivum (bread wheat). Its description in RNAcentral is "partial small subunit ribosomal RNA". Lineage: Eukaryota; Viridiplantae; Streptophyta; Magnoliopsida; Poales; Poaceae. The record is from RNAcentral.